This 30-nucleotide non-coding RNA is filed under the name Mus musculus (house mouse). The record is from RNAcentral. Lineage: Eukaryota; Metazoa; Chordata; Mammalia; Rodentia; Muridae.
UAUUACAGAUGGCACCCAAACAUAGGAACU